Molecule: ribosomal RNA, 612 nt
Filed under: uncultured bacterium
Lineage: Bacteria
Description: bacterial SSU rRNA
Rfam family: Bacterial small subunit ribosomal RNA
Source: RNAcentral
CGUGGGUAAUCAACCCUCGACACUGGGAUAGCCCGGGGAAACCCGGAUUAAUACCGGAUGGCCCUUUGGAUCUUCGGAUCUGACGGAAAAGGUAGCUUCGGCCUCCGGUCGAGGACGAGCCCGCGGCGGAUUAGCUUGUUGGUGAGGUAACGGCUCACCAAGGCGACGAUCCGUAGCUGGUCUGAGAGGACGAUCAGCCACACUGGGACUGAGACACGGCCCAGACUCCUACGGGAGGCAGCAGUGGGGAAUCUUGCGCUAAUGCGGGAAACCGUGACGCAGCGACGCCGCGUGAGGGAAGAAGGCCUUCGGGUUGUAAACCUCUUUCAGGAGGGACGAAGCCACUCGGGUUAACAGCCCAGAGGGUGACGGUACCUCCAGAAGAAGCCCCGGCUAACUACGUGCCAGCAGCCGCGGUAAUACGUAGGGGGCUAGCGUUGUCCGGAUUUAUUGGGCGUAAAGAGCGUGUACGCGGCUAGAUAGGUCCGUUGUGAAAACUCGAGGCUCAACCUCGAGACGUUGAUGGAAACCAUCUGGCUAGAGUCCGGAAGAGAGAGUGGAAUUCCUGGUGUAGCGGGUGAAAUGCGCAGAUAUCAGGAGAACACCCGUGGC